Molecule: long non-coding RNA, 756 nt
Organism: Triticum aestivum (bread wheat)
Lineage: Eukaryota; Viridiplantae; Streptophyta; Magnoliopsida; Poales; Poaceae
Exons: 3
Source: RefSeq, a predicted model, not a curated record
UAAUCAAUUGCAUGUUUGUGAAGAACAGAGCCCUGUAAGUGUGGCAGUAUGGCCUCUUUCUAGAGACAUACUUGACUGCUUAUUAAGUUGUGGGUUGUUUUUUGACAGAUAUAUUUUCUCACUUUCUUACAACAACUUAGUCUCCAGUUAUUGUACAAGUCUGGUGCGCAAGUGUUGUUUCGUUCCAUCUUCAGUUUGAUUAUUGUUUUUUUUGGCGAGAAAAUUUCUGAUCUAUUCAUCAACUGUCAAGGCAGUACAAUUCCUAUUUUUAUUUUUUAAACAGGGUUCCUAGAUCAAAUUGUCUGGGCUGGGACAAGAAAAGGAACAUGCUCUUGACUGAGCGCGGGCCGCGGAGAUGGUGAGGAUGCCGAGCUGUCUGCGGCAUGGUCGUUGCUCCUCCGGACUUGGUAGGAGGAGUGAGGAGGUCGAUCCAUCCUCGGCUUCGUCGUCGUCGUGCAUCCGUCAAGAGAUGCUCGCGCGCCGGGAGACGAAUCCACAUCUGCUCCUGCUCGACUGCUUCCAAAUCGAGUGACGCAUGCUUCUGCUUGCUAUGGAGGCCGCUGCUCUGAUCCGCUCCAACUGCCAGCGAUGUUCCUCCUCAAGGUCAAGGCAGGCUGGGUGGGCUCCUCGUCGGCGUCGGCUUUCCCUGCCUGCCACUGCUUUCUGAUGGAGCGGACCUUUGGAUGCUCCUGUGCCUCUGGUGGUGGGCUAGGCUGGAACUGCUCUGUUGGAUCCUUACCUUUCUUUUGCAGUGAC